This is a long non-coding RNA of Sorex araneus (European shrew), 508 nucleotides long. RefSeq lists it as uncharacterized. NCBI's taxonomy places the organism in Eukaryota, Metazoa, Chordata, Mammalia, Eulipotyphla, Soricidae. The transcript is spliced from 3 exons. The record is from RefSeq and is a predicted model, not a curated record.
CGGGAAAAGCACAAGACCAGGAGUCUGUUGUAAAAUUUUUGCCCAGGACUUCACCUGCCAACUGUGUGAGUUUAGGCAAGACACUGAACCACUCUGAGACACAGUCACAUCUGCACGGGGGAACCCUUGCCAGAAGACUUGGAAACUGGAAAGGACAGGAAGGUUCCAGCCUUGGAGGCGCUGCAGAAGAGAGCAUGAGGAAAAUCUCCACUGAACAACAUAGUCAACCAAUACGAGCUUGGACCGGGCGGAAGAAAGAACCUUAGACCUGGAGUCAGACGCACUGCCCUCUGCCCCAUUUCAUCCAUGACCCGAUGCCAUCUUGGAGCCCUGACAGUUGAAGACCUCCAGAGCCCAGCCACAGCCAUGCUCAAGGCCACUCUCCAUGGGUUCAGAUGAGCCUCACACAUGAAGGAACCAGCAGAGGAACCCAGCUGUGCGAAACCAGGGGCUGAGAUCUCCAAGCCUGCUCAGAUCGGGAUUGGGCCUCUUCCACCCAGAUCCCCCA